UGACGGCCACACUUUGAAUAAAAUGCUGGAAUGCUGGAAUACAUUACAUACUGGCGUCGGGAAGAACGAAUUCCUUAAAUGUUACAAAGUAAUUAAAAUUCUUGUAUUAAAAGGACGAAAUGUUUUUGCAGACGCUCAAUUUCCGGCAAUGGCUCAGACUAACCUCACCGUCAUGCAGGCUGUGAGUUUUCGGAAGUCGUUACCGUACGAGACCAAGUUGGCGACUAAGGCAUGUAUGAUGGAGGAAAGCAGAACCAGAUCAGACGGAUUGGUCAAUUUUGUAAACAAGACGCAUCAGAAGCAAUUGGCGAAAGACAAAAAGCAGCAGCCAUGUUCAAGGUGCCGAUAUCAUUAAUCACAGGAGUGCAAAUACAAGGACAUUAAUUGUCAUGAAUGUGGCAAAAUCUGUAAUCUUGCAACUGUAUGCAAAUAAACUAAAGGCAGAAAUGUAAA
Drosophila biarmipes is the source of this 453-nucleotide long non-coding RNA. RefSeq lists it as uncharacterized. NCBI's taxonomy places the organism in Eukaryota, Metazoa, Arthropoda, Insecta, Diptera, Drosophilidae. The transcript has 2 exons. The record is from RefSeq and is a predicted model, not a curated record.